GUCUUUUAGAUUAUAAUUAAAAGUCUAAUCUGCUCAAUGAUAAUAAUUAAAUAGCUGCAGUAUUAUGACUGUACAAAGGUAGCAUAAUCAUUAGUUUUUUAAUUGAAAGCUGGAAUGAAAGAUUGAAUGAAAUAAAAACUGUCUUAAUAUUAAAUUUAUAAUUUUUUUUAUUAAUAAAAAAAUUAAUAUAAAUUUAAAAGACGAGAAGACCCUAUAGAAUUUAAUUUUUGGUUAAUUUAAUUUAAAUUUAUUUUAAUAUUUAUAAAUAAAUUAAAAAUUUAAUUGGGGAGAUUAUAAAAUUAAUAUAACUUUUAUAAAAUUUUACAUUAAUUUAUGAUUUUAUGAUCUUGAAUUUUGGAUUAUUAGAAUAAAUUACCUUAGGGAUAACAGCGUAAUUUUAUUAGAUAGAUCAUAUUGAUAAUAAAAGUUGC
RNAcentral lists this ribosomal RNA (431 nucleotides) under Phaenolobus fulvicornis. Its description in RNAcentral is "partial 16S ribosomal RNA". Lineage: Eukaryota; Metazoa; Arthropoda; Insecta; Hymenoptera; Ichneumonidae. The record is from RNAcentral.